RNAcentral lists this long non-coding RNA (382 nucleotides) under Apteryx rowi (Okarito brown kiwi). RNAcentral describes it as "lncRNA (ENSARWG00000002908.1)". The record is from RNAcentral. Lineage: Eukaryota; Metazoa; Chordata; Aves; Apterygiformes; Apterygidae.
CCAAGCUUGCUGUAUAUGUUUACCUCCUAGCAAGAAAACAGAUUUAAAAAGCAAGCAAUUAUGUAAAGCAAAGGUUCAGAUGUCAUGGAAGUCACCUGUAUGAAGGACAUUUACUAAGACUUGGAAAGAUCAGAAGUGAAUUCCUUGAUGUGUUGCUGUGAUUGCAGAUGCAGUAAAGGAAUGAACAUCCCCUUCCUCUCCUCUUGCAUCAUAUAAGCAACUUCCACACAUGUCCUCUGGAUUUAUCAAGUUGGUCCAGAAACUUCUAGUCUGUGAACCGUGUUUAUAAGAAAGAUAGGCCUAAUAUGGCAGUACCAGCAAGGUCUAUUUGAUAAUGGACUAAGGAGAAAUAACACUCGAGAGCAGGAAAGGGAAGAGUUAA